CCUACGGGUGGCAGCAGUGAGGAAUAUUGGUCAAUGGGCGGGAGCCUGAACCAGCCAAGUCGCGUGAAGGAAGAAGGUACUUAGUAUUGUAAACUUCUUUUGUCGGGGAACAAAGGCGGAGACGCGUCUCCGGAUGAGUGUACCCGACGAAAAAGCAUCGGCUAACUCCGUGCCAGCAGCCGCGGUAAUACGGAGGAUGCGAGCGUUAUCCGGAUUUAUUGGGUUUAAAGGGUGCGCAGGGGGGAGAUGAAGUCAGCGGUAAAAUGUCGGGGCUAAACCCCGGCCGGCCGUUGAAACUGGUUGUCUAGAGUGGGAGAGAAGUAUGCGGAAUUCGUGGUGUAGCGGUGAAAUGCAUAGAUAUCACGAAGAACUCCGAUGGCGAAGGCAUCUCACGAAUCCGCGAUUGACGCUGAUGCACGAAAGCGUGGGUAUCAAACAGGAUUAGAUACCCGAGUAGUC
Molecule: ribosomal RNA, 459 nt
Filed under: uncultured bacterium
Lineage: Bacteria
Description: partial 16S ribosomal RNA
Rfam family: Bacterial small subunit ribosomal RNA
Source: RNAcentral